This 783-nucleotide ribosomal RNA is filed under the name uncultured Neocallimastigales. RNAcentral's name for it is "partial large subunit ribosomal RNA". It matches the Rfam family "Eukaryotic large subunit ribosomal RNA", at positions 23 to 634 of the family's 3401-position model. Lineage: Eukaryota; Fungi; Neocallimastigomycota; Neocallimastigomycetes; Neocallimastigales. The record is from RNAcentral.
AGAGAUGUGUGAUGACGCAUAUCAAUAAGCGGAGGAAAAGAAACUAACAAGGAUUCCCCUAGUAACGGCGAGUGAAGCGGGAAGAGCUCAAAUUUGAAAUCUUAAAGGGUUUCCCUUGACGAAUUGUAGUUUAAAGAAGUGUUUUCUGUUAGAGAGGUUCGGUAAAAGUUCUUUGGAAUAGGACACUCAUAGAGGGUGAGAAUCCCGUAUUUGACCAUUACUUUCCAACUGUGUGAUACACUUUCAAAGAGUCGGAUUGUUUGGGAAUGCAGUCCAAAAUGGGUGGUAAAUUUCAUCUAAAGCUAAAUAUUGGCGAGAGACCGAUAGCGAACAAGUACCGUGAGGGAAAGAUGAAAAGAACUUUGAAAAGAGAGUUAAACAGUACGUGAAAUUGUCAAAAGGGAAGCGUUUGACACCAGUGUUGUUUUCUCGAAAAUCAAUUAAAAAUGGCCGGGAUGUUGUGUUGUAUUGACCUUAUAAGCUUUCUGCACUCUUUUUCUUUACCUUUUUUAAUGCACCUUUUCGUUUAACAAGUCAACAUCAAUUUCUUUUGUUGUAAAAGAGUCAUUGGAAGGUGGUUUUCAUUUCGGUAGAAAGUGUUUAUAGCCUUUGAUCACUGCAACCGGAGGGACUGAGGUCUGCAGCGUAGACUCUUCGGGGUUAAAUACAUUUGUGCUAAGCUAUAGCUUUUUAUAGACAACUUGUUGACUAUAUUUAGUCUUGUGGCUUACUCGCUUAUGCUAUUUUACCUACGCUUAGGAUGUUGAACUACUGAGACAUAGA